GGCCUCCCAAUUUCUUACCACAGGCUGUGUUCUUUACACUGACUGUAUAGAAAGAGGAGGUACAGUAAGUGCACCCCAUAUACACCUCAACACAGGCCCUUUGCCUGGUCUGAGUUGUGAAUUGGGGGACAAAA
Small nucleolar RNA from Suncus etruscus (white-toothed pygmy shrew), 134 nucleotides. RefSeq annotates it as small nucleolar RNA SNORA51. The record is from RefSeq and is a predicted model, not a curated record. Lineage: Eukaryota; Metazoa; Chordata; Mammalia; Eulipotyphla; Soricidae. The transcript has a single exon.